Molecule: ribosomal RNA, 253 nt
Filed under: uncultured bacterium
Lineage: Bacteria
Description: partial 16S ribosomal RNA
Rfam family: Bacterial small subunit ribosomal RNA
Source: RNAcentral
UACGUAGGGUGCAAGCGUUAAUCGGAAUUACUGGGCGUAAAGCGUGCGCAGGCGGCUUUGCAAGACAUAUGUGAAAUCCCCGGGCUCAACCUGGGAACUGCAUUUGUGACUGCAAGGCUGGAGUACGGCAGAGGGGGAUGGAAUUCCGCGUGUAGCAGUGAAAUGCGUAGAUAUGCGGAGGAACACCGAUGGCGAAGGCAAUCCCCUGGACCUGUACUGACGCUCAUGCACGAAAGCGUGGGGAGCAAACAGG